This 486-nucleotide ribosomal RNA is filed under the name uncultured bacterium. Its description in RNAcentral is "partial 16S ribosomal RNA". It matches the Rfam family "Bacterial small subunit ribosomal RNA", at positions 28 to 507 of the family's 1533-position model. The record is from RNAcentral.
GACGAACGCUGGCGGCGUGCUUAACACAUGCAAGUCGAACGCUGAAGCCCUGGCUUUUGUUGGGUUGGAUGAGUGGCGAACGGGUGAGUAACACGUGAGUAACCUGCCCUCUUCUUUGGGAUAACGCCCGGAAACGGGUGCUAAUACUGGAUAUUCACUGAUCUUCGCAUGGGGGUUGGUGGAAAGGUUUGUUCUGGUGGGGGAUGGGCUCGCGGCCUAUCAGCUUGUUGGUGGGGUGAUGGCCUACCAAGGCUUUGACGGGUAGCCGGCCUGAGAGGGUGACCGGUCACAUUGGGACUGAGAUACGGCCCAGACGCCUACGGGAGGCGGCAGUGGGGAAUAUUGCGCAAUGGGCGAAAGCCUGAUGCAGCGGCGCCGCGUGAGGGAUGGAGGCCUUCGGGUUGUAAACCUCUUUCGCUCAUGGUCAAGCCGCAACUGUGGGUUGUGGUGAGGGUAGUGGGUAAAGAAGCGCCGGCUAACUACGUG